UUAAUUUGUUUAAUUUGAGUCAUUUCAUGAUAUUUUUUACUUUGAAAUUUAAGCUAAUUAUAUACACUUUAAUGAAUUUAUAGUCAUAAAAAUUAUAUAAAAUAUGGUAACUAAAUAUGUAAAGAUAAACGAAACAUUUAAAUUUUGAAAUCAAACUAGACUGAUUCAAAUCAAAUAAAUUCAAAGAUUAAAUAUCAAAAUUAAAAUUUUGAAAGAUUAGAUAGCUAAUUCAAAAUUGUUAAUUCUAUGCAUUUUUACCUACAUUCUCACAACUUGAUUUUCUUUUCUUCUAUUGUUAACCUACACAAAACAAACUAAAAAAACUC
This 326-nucleotide long non-coding RNA is filed under the name Ananas comosus (pineapple). RNAcentral describes it as "long non-coding RNA (ACOM_LNC005945)". Lineage: Eukaryota; Viridiplantae; Streptophyta; Magnoliopsida; Poales; Bromeliaceae. The record is from RNAcentral.